RNAcentral lists this ribosomal RNA (254 nucleotides) under uncultured bacterium. Its description in RNAcentral is "partial 16S ribosomal RNA". It matches the Rfam family "Bacterial small subunit ribosomal RNA", at positions 524 to 776 of the family's 1533-position model. The record is from RNAcentral.
CACGUAGGGGGCGAGCGUUGUCCGGAUUUAUUGGGCGUAAAGAGCUCGUAGGCGGUUCAGUAAGUCGGGUGUGAAACCCCCGGGCUCAACCCGGGGACGCCACCUGAUACUGCUGUGACUGGAGUCCGGUAGGGGAGCGUGGAAUUCCUGGUGUAGCGGUGAAAUGCGCAGAUAUCAGGAGGAACACCAGCGGCGAAGGCGGCGCUCUGGACCGGUACUGACGCUGAGGAGCGAAAGCGUGGGGAGCGAACAGG